GAGACCUGACGAUGCCUACACAUGCAAGUCAACUUGAGCUUCGGUUUGGGUGGCGGACGGGUGAGUAACGCGUAAAGAACUUGCCUCACAGCUAGGGACAACAUUUGGAAACGAAUGCUAAUACCUGAUAUUAUUAUUUUAUGGCAUCAUGGGAUAAUGAAAGCUAUAAGCGCUGCGAGAGAGCUUUGCGUCCCAUUAGCUAGUUGGAGAGGUAACGGCUCACCAAGGCGAUGAUGGGUAGCCGGCCUGAGAGGGUGAACGGCCACAAGGGGACUGAGACACGGCCCUUACUCCUACGGGAGGCAGCAGUGGGGAAUAUUGGACAAUGGACCGAGAGUCUGAUCCAGCAAUUCUGUGUGCACGAUGAAGUUUUUCGGAAUGUAAAGUGCUUUCAGUUGGGAAGAAAAGAAUGACGGUACCAACAGAAGAAGUGACGGCUAAAUACGUGCCAGCAGCCGCGGUAAU
This 465-nucleotide ribosomal RNA is filed under the name uncultured bacterium. RNAcentral's name for it is "bacterial SSU rRNA". It matches the Rfam family "Bacterial small subunit ribosomal RNA", at positions 36 to 524 of the family's 1533-position model. The record is from RNAcentral.